This 25538-nucleotide long non-coding RNA is filed under the name Triticum aestivum (bread wheat). RNAcentral's name for it is "long non-coding RNA (TAES_LNC003708)". The record is from RNAcentral. Lineage: Eukaryota; Viridiplantae; Streptophyta; Magnoliopsida; Poales; Poaceae.
AUGUUUAUCAUUAGUUACACGUGCAUGUACCCAGUGCCUGAUGACUGAUGUGUUUGUGCAGCGGCACGAUCCACCCGCUGAUCCCGAACAUGGCAUUCGUGGGGUUCGUGGAGAGCGCAUCGAACCUGCACACGUCGGAGCUGCGGUGCCGAUGGCUGGCGGGGCUGCUGGAGGGGCGAUUCGAGCUGCCUACCGUGCAGGCCAUGAUGAGGCACGUCGCCGGCGAGGCCGACGCCAUGCGUCGCACCACGCGGUUCUACCGCCGGCACUGCAUCUCCACCUACAGCAUCCACGACAGCGACGGCAUGUGCGCCGACCUGAGCUCCGCCACGCACCGCAAGACCAACUGGAUCUCCGAGCUCUUCGCUCCAUACAACAAGGAGGACUACAAGCAACAGUAACUACAUUUACUCGACCGCAUCAAUGGGCAAGCGUAGAGUACUUACGUGGUUCUGGGUUAAUGUACUCGACCGCAGCUAGCUACAAUAAUAUCGCUAAUAAGAAUUUCUAUAAACGUACGUAAGAGCAUCUCCAGCCGCGCUCCCAACAGGCCCUUCCCGGACGUUUUUGUCAUGCCGGCGCCGAAAAAACGGCCCAGUCGCCCUCCAAAAUCCCGUUUUUUGCCGGCUCAGACCGAAACUGAUGCCGGCGGACCCAGGCAGAACCCGACUCCCUGGGGAGCGCCUGGGGCGCCGGCACAAGCGAAAAGGACGCGUGGGUCUGUCCUGUCGGCGAGUCGAGCGCCUCUUCCCGCCGUUUCUUCCCGCUUUUCCCCACUUCCCUCCCAUUUUCUCCUUCCCUCCCGCCAAUCUCCCUCCCGCUCGCCUCCCAGCCGGCCGCCAUGCCACCGAAGAAGUACGUCGUCCCCCGUGCCGUGGCAACCGCGACCGCCUCCGUCGCCCAGCCGAAGCAGAGGAAGCCGAGGGCGCCGCCGUCCAAGCCAUUGGGCAUGACAAACGCCGAUUGGAGGGUGGAAGUGCAGCGCCGGGAGGCCGUCACCGCCGACCGGCGGAACAGGGCCCUCGCCAAGAAGGCCCGUGACAACGCGGCACGCGCGGCUGCGGCUGCCGCUUCGGCGGACCAAGCCGAGGCCGAGGUGACUCGCGCGGGGAUGAUGAAUCCACCCGGCAACCACGCGCAGUACGCGCCCUGGGGCCAGCAAGGCGUCGGGUCUCCGUCGCCACAGCCAUGGGGAUCAUCUUCGUCGGGCUACGCCGACGGGGACGCGCACGGUGGGUUCAACCCAAACAUCACUUUCCCCCAUGGACACCCGACCCAGCGCAGGCCCUCGCCCGCCUUCACCGGUGUGCAGUACCCUCCAUACAACUACUCGACGCCCGCGUACGCGUCCUCCCCGACGCCCACUCUCCGUCGUUGCGCGCUGCCCUUCUCGCACCUUUGCGACGUCGACGAGACCGAGGCCGACAUGGACGACAUCAUCGCGGAAGGUUCGGCCGCGGCCGCCGCGUCUCCCGGGUUCACCGCGGAUGAGACGGUGGAUCUCAGCGGCGGCAUGGACGGCGAGCUCGGCUACGUCUAUAGCGACGAGGAGCAGGAGGAGCAGGAGGAGGAGGACGAGGGGGAGGAGGAGGAGGAGGAGGAGGAGCCGGCGACUAUUCCGGCGAGGAGGCGCAAGAAGAAGAAGCGGACGGCCAGGUCAGGCGAGCCGCGCAUCAAGUGGGCGUCCAAGGAGGAGGAAUGCCUCGCCGAAGCAUGGAAAAUCGUCUGCCUCGACCCGACCACCGGCACGAACCAGAGCAUCGAGACGUACUGGGAGCGCAUCAAGGCCGAGUUCGACGAGCGCAAACUUGUCGACCCCUACUUCAAAGGCAUCUACAUGCAGCGCGGGUCGAAGGCGAUGGCGAACCAUUGGGGGUGUAUCCAGGGGCGUGCAACAAAUGGCAUGGGGUCGUCGAGGAGGUCGCCGCUCACCCAGAGAGCGGCGCCAGCAUUGAGGAUCAGGUAUGCCACGCCGGUCUCCCGCCUCCCUUCGCCGUGUACGCCCGCAAACUGUUUGUUCGUCCGCGCAGUUGCUGCGCAUGUUCGGCCUGUAUUGGCAGAGCAACAACAACGCCGAGUUCAAGUACCUCCACAUUUACAAGCACAUUGACAAGUGCGAGAAGUGGGCGGAAGUCCGGCGCACCCUCGACAAGGCCAAAGAGACCUACAAGCCGGACGCGCCGACCCCGGGUGCAUCAGAAGGGCCACCGGACGGCAACAAUGGUGCCAAGAAAGGGAAGCACGCCGAUGUGGCCACCGAUCACGUGCAGGAGUCCAUCCAGCACUGCCUCACCGAUGCACAGGUCCGGGCCGCCCUUCGUGAAGAGAAGACCGAGGCGCGGUGGUCGGCGUUGAUGUCGAGCAGCGCCGUCAAGCUCGACCUACUCCGGACCAACGUCGUCACGAAGAAGAGGAACACCGACCUGGCUUUCCUACUGGGUGGGGCGGACAUGCUCCAGAGUACCGACGAGGCGGUCAAGGCGUGGUACUUGGCGGAGCGUGGCCUCAUCAUGAACCAGCUUCCCUCGACGAUGCCGCCCACGCCCACGACGCCGCCGCCCACGCCCACGCCCACGCACACGCCGACGCCGCCGCCAAGCCCGAGCGAUUAUGCCGCCGACACUGCCCGCAGCACAGAAGCCACGCCGACACCGCCAAGCACAGAGACCCCGUCAAGCCCGCGCACGCCGACUCCACCGACGCCGGAGGCCGACCUCGCCGCCUAAUGCGCGCUUCCGUCCUUUCUAUUUUUUCUAUGCCAAACUUUUCAUCCGAUCGCCGAUCUACUGGCCGCUUGAUCGCCGUCCUGUGGCGUCUAUUUUGUGCGCGGGAAUGAGACUACGUUUGAAUUUGCCGUGGCUGGGGGGCGGCGCCUGGGGGCGUGGCUAGGAGCUAUGCCGCCCCCAGGGGCCGAUCUAGAGCCGGUUCGCCCCCAGGCCGCUCUUUUUCGGCGCCCUGGGGGGCUGAACGGCUGGAGAUGCUCUAAUAUGCUGAACUACUGCACUUAUUUCGACCUCUGUGCAACGGGUGGGAUGGGGGGGCUAACCAGGAGAAAUCCAUGGCUGGUCGCGGUGGCGGCACGCCGUUAUUCCUCCCAUUUGUCAGGUCAGCCUCCCUCCACCCACCAUCAUCUAGCCUCCCAGGUGAAAGCGCUUGAUGGGCGGUGGCGGUGCUCUCGGUGCCGUUCUCUUUCUUGCAGGCGAAGCCUUUGCGAGUUGUUUGGUUAGUGUGCGUUGUUGGGGUGCAUUUGGUGGCGGCCGUGAUGUGUCCUCUUCGUCCAAGCUUGAUGAUAUCCCUCCUCUGCGGUCAGGCCGUGGCAGUUCUGCUUGGGGGGAGCUUUGGCGGCUCGUCGGCUGCCCGUGGAUCCUCUCUAUGUGGCCAUCUUCCGGACACAACCAUUGUUGUUCUAGGUGGAACAUCUCCAUCUUCCGACGGUGCGGUGCUUAUCGAGCUAGGCGAGGCGACGAGGAUGUUGUAUCCUCCUUCGGAGAUGGAAUUGAAUAGUUGCACUGUGCUGGGAUCCGUAGUUGUUUGGUGAUCACAUUCCCUGUUGAUAUCGGGCAUCCCUUCUCCUCUGUGCCAGCAUGGUCCUAGUUCCCUAGUGCUUCGUUCUAGGAGGAGGGCCUCGAUGUCUUUAGCUACGUGCUUCUCUGAUUUAUCAUUCUAGUUUGUAGCUUUUGAGGCUCUGUUAGCUGCUUGCUAGCGCCUAUGUAUCUUACCGUGUUGUAUUUCCUUUCUUCGGUUCCAUGUGAUCUAUAAUCCAGUCCCAUUUCGGGGUGGUUGAUGUAUUUUCUCUUAAAAAUGUAUGUAAUAUGCUUCAACUAUAUUGUACCAUUGUGUAAGUUGUUAUAUUUUGAGAAAAGCUUUCGUCCUGCUUUAUAAAUAAAACUACUAGCAAGUUGUUGCGUGGCGAGGUGCUGGCCUUCUGCGCCUGUAGUGGCCGGCUGAUGGUGCUACGGUCCAUGUCUUGGUGGUGAUGAUUCAGAUUUGAUCGCGCGGAUGGUGGUGACUGUAACUGUACUGUAGCGACUUCCUACGGCUUCACGAUGGCGGUGAUCAUCGAGAGGUUUUCGGGAGGGUUCAUCUCUCCUGAUCUAAUGAUUAACUUCAGUGGUGAGCUACAAAUUAUGGAUGACGGCUUGACGGAGAGGGGUGGUAUCGCAUCGUAAAUAGUUGCGGGGAUCACAAAAAAUGGUGGCGACAACAUAUCAGUGACCUUGAUGGUGGUGCUAUCAAGCACCCGGUCUCGAGUUUCAGGACGAAAACCUAGGUUAGACCGAGUGGUUACACCUGACAAUGGUGAUGGUUUCCUUACUUUAUUAUUAGUCGUUAUCUUGUUGAAGGCAUUGCUCAGUCAGAUUCUUGAGGGUGAAAACUUAGAUUAUGGUCUUGUGGUUGGAUCCGACGACAGCGACGCUUGAGUGUCUCUUCGUUCCUGAAAGCAUUGUUGUUAAAGAAUCUCGUCGUUCAUGUGGUGUCAUGAGAUGGUUGGUGUGUUAGGGAACGUUGCAGAAAAUAAAAAAUUUCUAUGCUUCACCAAGAUCAAUCUAUGGAGUCAUCUACCAACGAGAGAGAGGAGUGCAUCUACAUACCCUUGUAGAUCGCAAGCGGAAGCGUUCAAGAGAAUGGGGUUGAUGGAGUCGUACUUGUCGUGAUCCAAAUCACCGAAGAUCCUAGUGCCGAACGGACGGCACCUCCGCGUUCAACACACGUACGGUUGGGGAAGACGUCUCCUCCUUAUUGAUCCAGCAAGGGGAAGGAGAGGUUGAUGGAGAUCCAGCAGGACGACGGUGUGGUGGUGGAAGUAGCGGGGAAUCUCGGCAAGGCUUCGCCAAGCUCAGCGAGAGGGAGAGGUGUUGCGGGGGGGGGGAGAGGGAGGCGCCAGGGACUAGGGUGCGUAGCCCUCCCUCCCCCCCUCUUUAUAUAGGGGGCCUGGGGGGCGCCGGCCCCCUAGAGAUCCAAUCUCUAGGGGCGGCGACGGCCAAAGGGGGGACUUGCCCCCCAAGUCAGGUGGGCGCCCCCCACCCCUAGGGUUUCCAACCCUAGGCGCAGGGGGAGGCCCAAGGGGGGGCGCACCAGCCCACCAGGGGCUGGUCCCUUCCCACUUCAGCCCAUGGGGCCCUCUGGGAUAGGUGGCCCCACCCGGUGGACCCCCGGGACCCUUCCGAUUGUCCCGGUACAAUACCGGUGACCCCCGAAACUUUCCCGAUGGCCGAAACUGGACUUCCUAUAUACAAAUCUUCACCUCCAGACCAUUCCGGAAUUCCUCGUGACAUUCGGAUCUCAUCCAGGACUCUGAACAACUUUCAGGUUACCGCAUACUAAUAUCUCUACAACCCUAGCGUCACCGAACCUUAAGUGUGUAGACCCUACGGGUUCGGGAAUCACGCAGACAUGACCGAGACAGCUCUCCGGCCAAUAACCAAUAGCAGGAUCUGGAUACCCAUGUUGGCUCCCACAUGUUCCACGAUGAUCUCAUCGAAUGAACCACGAUAUCGAGGAUUCAAGUAAUCUCGUAUAUAAUUCCAUUUGUCAAUCGGUACGUUACUUGCGCGAGAUUAGAUCGUCGGUAUCCCAAUACCUCGUUCAAUCUCGUUACCGGCAAGUCACUUUACUCGUACCGUAAUGCAUGAUCCUGUGACCAACUACUUGGUCACAUUGAGCUCAUUAUGAUGAUGCUUUACCGAGUGGGCCCAGAGAUACCUCUCCGUCAUACGGAGUGACAAAUCCCAGUCUCGAUCCGUGUCAACCCAACAGACACUUUCGAGGAUACCUGUAGUAUACCUUUAUAGUCACCUAGUUACGUUGUGACGUUUGGUACACCCAAAGCACUCCUACGGUAUCCGGGAGUUACACAAUCUCAUGGUCUAAGAAAAUGAUACUUGACAUUGGAAAAGCUCUAGCAAACGAACUACACGAUCUUGUGCUAUGCUUAGGAUUGGGUCUUGUCCAUCACAUCAUUCUCCUAAUGAUGUGAUCCCAUUAUCAAUGACAUCUAAUGUCCAUAGUCAGGAAACCAUGACUAUCUGUUGAUCAAUGAGCUAGUCAACUAGAGGCUCACUAGGGACAUGUUGUGGUCUAUGUAUUCACACAUGUAUUACGAUUUUCGGAUAACACAAUUAUAGCAUGAAUAAUAGACAAUUAUGAUGAACAAGGAAAUAUAAUAAUAAUCAUUUUAUUAUUGCCUCUAGGGCAUAUUUCCAACAGUCUCCCACUUUCACUAGAGUCAAUAAUCUAGUUACAUUGUGAUGAAUCGAACACCCAUAGAGUUCUGGUGUUGAUCAUGUUUUGCUCGCGGAAGAGGUUUAGUCAGCGGAUCUGCGACAUUCAGAUCUGUAUGCACUUUGCAAAUAUCUAUGUCUCCAUCUUGAACAUUUUCACGAAUGGAGUUGAAGCGACGCUUGAUGUGCCUGGUCUUCUUGUGAAACCUGGGCUCCUUGGCAAGGGCAAUAGCUCUAGUGUUUUCACAGAAGAGAGUGAUCGGCCUCGAUGCAUUGGGUAUGACUCCUAGGUCGGUGAUGAACUCCUUCAUCCAUAUUGCUUCAUGCGCUGCCUCCGAGGCUGCCAUGUACUCCGCUUCACAUGUAGAUCCCGCAACGACGCUUUGCUUGCAACUGCACCAGCUUACUGUCCCACCAUUCAAAAUAUACACGUAUCCGGUUUGUGACUUAGAGUCAUCCAGAUUUGUGUCAAAGCUAGCGUCGAUGUAACCCUUUACGACGAGCUCUUCGUCACCAUAUAAACGAGAAACAUAUCCUUAGUCCUUUUCAGGUACUUCGGGAUAUUCUUGACCGCUGCCCAGUGUUCCAUGCUGGGAUUACUUUGGUACCUUCCUACCAAACUUACGGCAAGGUUUACAUCAGGUCUGGUACAUAGCAUGGCAUACAUAAUAGACCCUAUAACCGAGGCAUAGGGGAUGACACUCAUUUUUUCUCUAUCUUCUGCCGUGGUCGGGCAUUGAGCCGAGCUCAAUUUCACACCUUGCAACACAGGCAAGAACCCCUUCUUGGACUGAUCCAUAUUGAACUUCUUAAUAUCUUAUCAAGGUAUGUGCUUUGUGAAAGACCUAUGAGGCGUCUGGAUCUAUCCCUAUAGAUCUUGAUGCCUAAUAUGUAAGCAGCUUCUCCAAGGUCCUUCAUUGAAAAACACUUAUUCAAGUAGGCCUUAAUGUUGUCCAAAAGUUCUAUAUCAUUUCCCAUCAAAAGUAUGUCAUCUACAUAUAAUAUGAGAAAUGCUACAGAGCUCCCCCUCACUUUGUUGCAAACGCAGGCUUCUCCAUAAGUCUGCAUAAACCCAAACGCUUUGAUCAUCUCAUCAAAGCGAAUGUUCCAACUCCGAGAUGCUUGCACCAGCCCAUAAAUGGAUCGCUGGAGCUCGCAUACCUUGUUAGCAUUCUUAGGAUCGACAAAACCUUCCGGCUGCAUCAUAUACAGUUCUUCCUUUAGAUAGCCGUUAAGGAAUGUCGUUUUGACGUCCAUUUGCCAUAUCUCAUAAUCAUAGUAUGCGGCAAUUGCUAACAUGAUUCGGACGGACUUCAGCUUCGCUACGGGAGAGAAAGUCUCAUCAUAGUCAACCCCUUGAACUUGCCGAUAACCCUUAGCGAUAAGUCGAGCUUUAUAGAUGGUAACAUUACCAUCCGCGUCCGUCUUCUUCUUAAAGAUCCAUUUGUUUUCUAUCGCUCGCCGAUCAUCAGGCAAGUCUGUCAAAGUCCACACUUUGUUUUCAUACAUGGAUCCUAUCUCGGAUUGCAUGGCUUCAAGCCAUUUGUUGGAAUCUGGGCCCGCCAUCGCUUCUUCAUAGUUCGAAGGUUCACCGUUGUCUAACAACAUGAUUUCUAGGACAGGGUUGCCAUACCAUUCUGGUGUGGAACGUGUCCUUGUGGACCUACGAAGUUCAGUAGCAACUUGAUCCGAAGUACCUUGAUCAUCAUCAUUAACUUCCUCUCCAGUCGGUGCAGGCACCACAGGAACAUCUUCCUGAGCUGCGCUACUUUCCGGUUCAAGAGGCAGUACUUCAUAGAGUUCUACUUUCCUCCCACUUAUUUCUUUCGAGAGAAACUCUUUCUCCAGAAAGGACCCAUUCUUGGCAACAAAGAUCUUGCCUUCGGAUCUAAGGUAGAAGGUAUACCCAAUGGUUUCCUUAGGGUAUCCUAUGAAGACGCAUUUUUCCGACUUGGGUUCGAUAUUUUCAGGUUGAAGUUUCUUGACAUAAGCAUCGCAUCCCCAAACUUUUAGAAAUGAUAGCUUAGGUUUCUUCCCAAACCAUAAUUCAUACGGUGUCGUCUCAACGGAUUUAGACGGUGCCCUAUUUAAAGUGAAUGUAGCUGUCUCUAGAGCGUAUGCCCGAAAUGAUAGCGGUAAAUCGGUGAGUGACAUCAUAGAUCGCACCAUAUCCAAUAGAGUGCGAUUACGACGUUCGGACACACCAUUAUGUUGAGGUGUUCCAGGCGGCGUGAGUUGUGAAACGAUUCCACAUUUCCUUAAGUGUGUACCAAAUUCGUGACUUAAAUAUUCUCCUCCACGAUCUGAUCGUAAGAACUUUAUUUUUUGGUCAUGUUGAUUCUCUACCUCAUUCUGAAAUUCCUUGAACUUUUCAAAGGUCUCAGACUUUUGUUUCAUCAAGUAGACAUACCCAUAUCUACUCAAGUCAUCAGUGAGAGUGAGAACAUAAUGAUAGCCUCCGCGAGCCUCAACGCUCAUUGGACCGCACACAUCAGUAUGCAUAAUUUCCAAUAAGUUGGUUGCUUGCUCUAUUGUUCCGGAGAACGGAGUCUUGGUCAUUUUACCCAUGAGGCAUGGUUCGCACGUGUCAAAUGAUUCAAAAUCAAGAGACUCCAAAAGUCCAUCUGUAUGGAGCUUGUUCAUGCGUUUUACACCAAUGUGACCAAGGCGGCAGUGCCACAGAUAUGUGGGACUAUCAUUAUCAAUCUUACAUCUUUUGGUAUUCACACUAUGAAUAUGUGUAACAUCACGUUCGAGAUUCAUUAAGAAUAAACCAUUGACCAGCAGGGCAUGACCAUAAAACAUAUCUCUCAUAUAAAUAGAACAACCAUUAUUCUCGGAUUUAAAUGAGUAGCCAUCUCGUAUUAAACGAGAUCCAGAUACAAUGUUCAUGCUCAAAGCUGGCACUAAAUAACAAUUAUUGAGGUUUAAAACUAAUCAUGUAGCUAAAUGUAGAGGUAGUGUGCCGACGGCGAUCACAUCGACCUUGGAACCAUUCCCGACGCGCAUCGUCACCUCGUCCUUCGCCAGUCUCCGUUUAUUCUGCAGCUCCUGUUUUGAGUUACAAAUAUGAGCAACCGCACCGGUAUCAAAUGUCCAGGAGCUACUAUGAGUACUGGUAAGGUACACAUCAAUUACAUGUAUAUCACAUAUACCUUUAGUGUUGCCGGCCUUCUUGUCUGCUAAGUACACCCAAAGCACUCCUACGGUAUCCAGGAGUUACACGAUCUCAUGGUCUAAGGAAAUGAUACUUGACAUUGGAAAAGCUCUAGCAAACGAACUACAUGAUCUUGUGCUAUGCUUAGGAUUGGGUCUUGUCCAUCACAUCAUUCUCCUAAUGAUGUGAUCCCGUUAUCAAUGACAUCCAAUGUCCAUAGUCAGGGAACCAUGACUAUCUGUUGAUCAACGAGCUAGUCAACUAGAGGCUCACUAGGGACAUGUUGUGGUCUAUGUAUUCACACAUGUAUUACGAUUUCCGGAUAACGCAAUUAUAGCAUGAAUAAUAGACAAUUAUCAUGAACAAGGAAAUAUAAUAAUAAUCAUUUUAUUAUUGCCUCUAGGGCAUAUUUCCAACAUGGUGUAGUUUGUCGAUCGCAGAUCUGACUGUUUUUUAUUUUCUUUCCCUCGCCUACGCAUAGCAUUGAUCUUAUGGGCGUGUUUGGUUGCUGUUAGCUACAGUAGUUGCAUUGCAUAGCCUUCUCAACUCAGCCUGGCUAUGCAAAUGCAGCCUCAAAUGCACCAUAUGCAAGUUGUUUGGUUGCAUGUAUGCCCUCUUGCCUGCAUGGGAUGAACCACACUGCCUGGUGUUUGGUUGCCUGCAUGUUAGUGGACAAACCCAAGACAUGGCGUUUGGUUGUAUGCAACGCCUGGUGUGUGGUAACCUCUUUGGCUAGUUGGUGAGUUUACCAGCACAGUUCGGCACAACCAUGUAGCACACAUCAUAAGCAGAGCAGAGUAUAAAUAGAGGAUAAUCAGCACCACACUUCAUAUUUCAGACAAGCAGUACCACACUUCAUAACAGUUCAACGCAUAAACCAUAAACAGUACAAAGCAGACUCGAUAGUAAUUAGAAAGGAGGUGCCCCGGCCCUACUCCUUGGCGGCGAAGGCUUCGUCGUGCUUCCCUCACUUGUUGACAACCUCAAUGACAUCCUUGUCGAAGAUGAUGACCUUGAGGGUGUCAGGAGUGAGGAGCUUGAACGUCACCAUGUAGCCGAUCUUGAUCUAAUGAACGGCUGUGUAGGUGGCCCAACCCUGAUCCAGGGACACCCUGCCGUUCAUCAGCUUCACCGUCACCUUCCAGGAGCAGCCGGUGUUGUUCCUGAGCUUGAACUAUGUCGGCACCGUGACGAAGUGCUUGGUGAAGUCCAGGGGCAUGGGGAUGCACUCCUCAUGGUAGUGGCCGUAGUUGCAGCGCUUGUUGCUGGGAGGGCUCCUCCUUGCAUUCGCCGUCGCCAACCUCAGGCGUCUUCGGGUCUUCCUCGGCAGUGGGCGGCAUCACAACCUCCUCGGACAUUGGAUGAAGGGGCUGCUUGCCCUUGUUGUCAACGGCCGGGAGCACCCCCAUGCCCAUCUCAUUGCUCUCCUCGAUCUGCACACAAUUCAUGGAGUCAAGCACAGCACAGAGUUCAUGGCUUAUUGAAGAACAUGUAGUUAAAACACAUGACUGUCACUCUUCCUCCUCUCCAUCGUGCCUAUAUUUACUCACCCUGCCCACCACUACUUACCCACUGUUGGAGAUAUGCCCUAGAGGCAAUCAUGUGAUGAUGAUAUUUCCAUAUGUAUUCAUGAAUCCUUUGUAUUGUCCUUGAACAUCAUCAAUGAUAUGUAUCAAUAAGUAUGUGACUUGUUUGUGGAACUAUGUAUUGUAUGAUGAUUGUUCUAAUGGUCCCUAGUUGAUAAGGUUAUGCGGACACAUAUCCUUGACUAGUAUACGACCUAGUUGAUGACUAUGUUUCACAUGUCAUGUGCAUGGAGAUGCUAAACUGAUAGUAUGGGCUCGGGGAUGGAAAUCAUCGAGUUGGACAGACCCACUUUGAGAUGCGGCGAGAUAUAGUCAUCUGUUAGUCUCAAGUACAAUGUCUAUGCCAUGUCCUAGACCUGAGGUCCUUGCAUGUUCUCGGGAUGAGGAUCGACUCACUUAUGGUCUAUCAAACGCUACUCCGUAACUGGGUAGUUAUAAAAGGUAGCUUUCGGGUGAGUCUUGAAACAUGCCGCGAGACAUGGUUGACCAAGAUGGGAUUUGCCCCUUCUGUUUGGAGAGAUAUUCUCUGGGCCCUCUUGAGUGAUCAGAUUCAGAAAGCAUGGCCAUGUGAUGUCUGCUAGAACUACAUCGGUAUUUCCCCAAAGAGGAAGGGAUGAUGCAGUAUAGCGAUGGUAGGUAUUUCCCUUAGUGAUGAGACCAAGGUUAUCGAACCAGUAGAAGAACCUCCUCACACCACGUAAACAACACCUGCACACAAAUAACAAAUACUCGCAACCCGACGUGUUAAAGGGGUUGUCAAUCCCCUCCGGGUACGGUGCCUCAAGAUAGGCAAAAACGUGAAGUAAAAAGUGGUAGAUAGGAUAAAUAGAUCACGGAACAAAUAAAUUGCAGCAAGGUAUUUUUGUAUUUUUGGUUUAAUAGAUCUGAAAAUAAAUGCAAGAGAAAAUAGAUCGCAAAGGCAAAUAUGAUGAAAAGAGACCCGGGGGCCGUAGGUUUCACUAGUAGCUUCUCGCGAGGAAAAUAGCAAACCGUGGGAAAACAAUUACUGUUGGGCAAUUGAUAGAACUUCAGAUAAUCAUGACGAUAUCCAGGUAAUGAUCAUUAUAUAGGCAUCACAUCCAAGAUUAGUAGAUCGACUCCUGCCUGCAUCUACUACUAUUACUCCACACAUCGACCGCUAUCCAGCAUGCAUCUAGUGUAUUAAGUUCAUGAGAAAACGGAAUAAUGCAAUAAGAACGAUGACAUGAUGUAGACGAGAUCCGUUUAUCUAUGCGGAGAUAUAGAUCUCGUCUUGUUAUCCUUAGUAGCAACGAUACAUACAUGUCGGUUCCCCUUCUGUCACUGGGAUCAAGCACCGUAAGAUCGAACCCACUACAAAGCACAUCUUCCCAUUGCAAGAUAAAUAGAUCAAGUUGGCCAAAUAAAACCCAAAUAUCGGAGAAGAAAUACGAAGGUAUAAGCAAUCAUGCAUAUAAGAGAUCAAAGAAGACUCAAAUAACUUUCAUGGGUAAAAACAUAGAUCUGAUCAUAAACUCAAAGUUCACCGGAUCCCAACAAACGCACCGCCAAAAGACUUACAUCAUAUGGAUCUCCAAGAGACCAUUGUAUUGAUAAUCGAGAGAGAGAGGAGAGAGAGGAAGCCAUCUAGCUACUAACUACGGACUCAUAGGUCUACAAAGAACUACUCCCGCAUCAUAGGAGAGGCACCAAUGGAAGUGGUGAACCCCUCCAUGACGGUGUCUAGAUUGGAUCUGGUGGUUCUGGACUCUGCGGCGGCUGGAUCAAUAUUUCAUCGCCUCCCCUAGGGUUUCUGGAAUAUUGUGGUAUUUAUAGAGCAAAAAAGCGGUUCGGCGGGCACCCGAGGUGGGCAGUACCUGAAGGAAAUAUGCCCUAGAGGCAAUAAUAAAGUUAUUAUUUAUUUCCUCAUAUCAUGAUAAAUGUUUAUUAUUCAUGCUAGAAUUGUAUUAACCGGAAACAUGAUACAUGUGUGAAUACAUAGACAAACAUAUAGUCACUAGUAUGCAUCUACUAGACUAGCUCGUUAAUCAAAGAUGGUUAUGUUUCCUAACCAUAGACAUGUGUUGUCAUUUGAUUAAUGGGAUCACAUCAUUAGGAGAAUGAUGUGAUUGACAUGACCCAUUCCGUUAGCCUAGCACUUGAUCGUUUAGUAUAUUGCUAUUGCUUUCUUCAUGACUUAUACAUGUUCCUGUAACUAUGAGAAUUAUGCAACUCCCGUUUACCGGAGGAACACUUUGGGUACUACCAAACGUCACAACGUAACUGGGUGAUUAUAAAGGAGUACUACAGGUGUCUCCGAAGGUACAUGUUGAGUUGGCGUAUUUCGAGAUUAGGUUUUGUCACUCCGAUUGUCGGAGAGGUAUCUCUGGGCCCUCUCGGUAAUGCACAUCACUAUAAGCCUUGCAAGCAAUGUGACCAAAUGAGUUGGUUACGGGAUGAUGCAUUGCAGAACGAGUAAAGAGACUUGCCGGUAACGAGAUUGAACUAGGUAUUGGAUACCGACGAUCAAAUCUCGGGCAAGUAACAUACCGAUGACAAAGGGAACAACGUAUGUUGUUAUGCGGUUUGACCGAUAAAGAUCUUCGUAGAAUAUGUAGGAACCAAUAUGAGCAUCCAGGUUCCGCUAUUGGUUAUUGACCGAGAAUAGUUCUAGGUCAUGUCUACAUAGUUCUCGAACCCGUAGGGUCCGCACGCUUAACGUUACGAUGACAGUUUUAUUAUGAGUUUAUAAGUUUUGAUGUACCGAAGUUUGUUCGGAGUCCCGGAUGUGAUCAGGGACGUAACGAGGAGUCUUGAAAUGGUCGAGACAUAAAGAUUGAUAUAUUGGAAGCCUAUAUUUGGACAUUUGGAAUCGUUCCGGGUGAAAUCGGCAUUUUACCGGAGCACCUGGAGGUUACCGGAACCCCCCCGGGAGGUUAUUGGGCCUACAUGGGCCUCGAGGGAGAAGAGGGAAGGAGGCAGGAGGGGGCCGCGCACCCCUCCCCUUCCUAGUCCGAAUAGGACAAGGGAAGGGGGGCGGCGCCCCCCUUUCCUUUCCCUCUUCCUCCUCUUUCCCCCCUUCUCCUAUUCCAACUAGGAAAGAAGGGAGUCCUACUCCCGGUGGGAGUAGGACUCCCCCCCUUGGCGCGCCCUCCUUGGCCGGCCGCCUCCUUCCCCCCUGGCUCCUUUAUAUACGGGGGCGGGGGGGCACCCAUAGACACACAAGUUGAUCCACGGAUCGUUCCAUAGCCGUGUGCGGUGCCCCCCUCCACCAUAUUCCACCUCAGUCAUAUCGUCGCGAAGCUUAGGCGAGGCCCUGCGCCGGUAGAACAUCAUCAUUGUCACCACGCCGUCGUGCUAACGGAACUCAUCCCCGAAGCUUUGCUGGAUCAGAGCCCGGGGAUCGUCAUCGAGCUGAACGUGUGCUGAACUCGGAGGUGCCGUACGUUCGGUGCUUGGAUCGGUUGGAUCGUAAACACGUACGACUACAUCAACCGCGUUGUGCUAACGCUUCCUCUUACGGUCACGAGGGUAUGUGGACAACACUCUCCCCUCUCGUUGCUAUGCCAUCACCAUGAUCUUGCGUGUGCGUAGGAAAUUUUUUGAAAUUACUACGUUCCCCAACAGUGGCAUCCGAGCCAAGUUUUAUGCGUUGAUGUUAUAUGCACGAGUAGAACACAAGUGAGUUAUGGGCGAUACAAGUCAUACUGCUUACCAGCAUGUCAUACUUUGGUUCAGCGGUAUUGUGAGAUGAAGCGGCCCGGACCGACAUUACGCGUACGCUUACGCGAGACUGGUUUCACCGUUGCGAGCACUCGUGCUUAAAGGUGGCUGGCGGGUGUCUGUCUCUCUCACUUUAGCUGAAUCGAGUGUGGCUACGCCCGGUACUUGCGAAGGUUAAAACAGUACCAACUUGACGAACUAUCGUUGUGGUUUUUAUGCGUAGGUAAGAACGGUUCUUGCUAAAGCCCAUAGCAGCCACGUAAAAUUUGCAACAACAAAGUAGAGGACGUCUAACUUGUUUUUGCAGGGCAUGUUGUGAUGUGAUAUGGUCAAGACGUGAUGCUUUAUUUUAUUGUAUGAGAUGAUCAUGUUUUGUAACCGAAGUUAUCGGCAACUGGCAGGAGCCAUAUGGUUGUCGCUUUAUUGUAUGAAAUGCAAACGCCCUGUAAUUGCUUUACUUUAUCUCUAAGCGGUAGCGAUAGUCGUAGAAGCAAUAGAUGGCAUAACGACAAUGAUGCUACGAUGAAGAUCAUGGUGUCGCGCCGGUGACGAUGGUCAUCACGACGGUGCUUCGAAGAUGGAGAUCACAAGCACAAGAUGAUGAUGGCCAUAUCAUAUCACUUAUAUUGAUUGCAUGUGAUGUUUAUCCUUUAUGCAUCUUAUCUUGCUUUGAUUGACGGUAGAAUUUUAAGAUGAUCUCUCACUAAAAAUCAAGAAGUGUUCUCCCUGAGUAUGCACCGUUGCGAAAGUUCUUCGUGCUGAGACACCACGUGAUCGGGUGUGAUAGGCUCUACGUUCAAAUACAACGGGUGCAAAACAGUUGCACACGCGGAAUACUCAGGUCAUACUUGACGAGCCUAGCAUAUACAGAUAUGGCCUCGGAACACGGAGACCGAAAGGUCGAGCGUGAAUCAUAUAGUAGCUAUGAUCAACAUAGUGAUGUUCACCAUUGAAACUACUCCAUCUCACGUGAUGAUCGGACAUGGUUUAGUUGAUUUGGAGAUGACUAGAGAGAUGUCUGUCUAAGUGGGAGUUCUUAAGUAAUAUGAUUAAUUGAACUUAAAUUUAUCAUGAAACUUAGUACCUGAUAGUAUUUUGCUUGUCUAUGUUUGUUUGUAGAUAGAUGGCUCGUGUUGUUGUUGUUCCGUUAAAUUUUAAUGCGUUCCUUGAGAAAGCAAAGUUGAAAGAUGAUGGUAGCAAUUACACGGACUGGGUCCGUAACCUGAGGAUUAUCCUCAUUGCUGCACAGAAAAGUUACGUCCUGGAAGCACCGCUGGGUGCCAGGCCUGCUGCUGAUGCAACUGACGAUGUUAAGAACGUCUGGCAGAGCAAAGCUGAUGACUACUCGAUAGUUCAGUGUGCCAUGCUUUACGGCUUAGAACCGGGUCUUCAACGACGUUUUGAACGUCAUGGGGCAUAUGAGAUGUUCCAGGAGUUGAAGUUAAUAUUUCAAGCAAAUGCCCGGAUUGAGAGAUAUGAAGUCUCCAAUAAGUUCUACAGCUGCAAGAUGGAAGAGAAUAGUUCUGUCAGUGAACACAUACUCAAAAUGUCUGGGUAUAAUAAUCACUUGAUUCAACUGGGAGUUAAUCUUCCUGAUGAUAGUGUCAUUGACAGAAUUCUUCAAUCACUGCCACCAAGCUACAAGAGCUUCGUGAUGAACUAUAAUAUGCAAGGGAUGAACAAGACUAUUCCCGAGCUCUUCGCAAUGCUAAAAGCCGCGGAGGUAGAAAUCAAGAAGGAGCAUCAAGUGUUGAUGGUUAACAAAACCACCAGUUUCAAGAAAAAAGGCAAAGGGAAGAAGAAGGGGAACUUCAAAAAGAACAGCAAGCAAUUUGCUGCUCAAGAGAAGAAACCCAAGCCUGGACCUAAGCCUGAAACUGAGUGCUUCUACUGCAAGCAGACUGGACACUGGAAGCGGAACUGCCCCAAGUAUUUGGCGGAUAAGAAGGAUGGCAAAGUGAACAAAGGUAUAUGUGAUAUACAUGUUAUUGAUGUGUACCUUACUAAUGCUCGCAGUAGCACCUGGGUAUUUGAUACUGGUUCUGUUGCUAAUAUUUGCAACUCGAAACAGGGACUACGGAUUAAGCGAAGAUUGGCUAAGGACGAGGUGACGAUGUGCGUGGGAAAUGGUUCCAAAGUCGAUGUGAUCGCGGUCGGCACGCUACCUCUACAUCUACCAUCGGGAUUAGAUUUAGACCUAAAUAAUUGUUAUUUGGUGCCAGCGUUAAGCAUGAACAUUAUAUCUGGAUCUUGUUUGAUGCGAGACGGUUAUUCAUUUAAAUCAGAGAAUAAUGGUUGUUCUAUUUAUAUGAGUAAUAUCUUUUAUGGUCAUGCACCCUUGAAGAGUGGUCUAUUUUUAUUAAAUCUCGAUAGCAGUGAUACACAUAUUCAUAGUGUUGAAACCAAAAGAUGCAGAGUUAAUAAUGAUAGUGCAACUUAUUUGUGGCACUGCCGUUUAGGUCAUAUCGGUGUAAAGCGCAUGAAGAAACUCCAUACUGAUGGGAUUUUGGAAUCACUUGAUUAUGAAUCACUUGGUACUUGCGAACCGUGCCUCAUGGGCAAGAUGACUAAAACGCCGUUCUUCGGAACUAUGGAGCGAGCAACUGACUUGUUGGAAAUCAUACAUACUGAUGUUUGUGGUCCAAUGAAUGUUGAGGCUCGCGGCGGAUCUCGUUAUUUUAUCACCUUCACAGAUGAUUUGAGCAGAUAUGGGUAUAUCUACUUGAUGAAACACAAGUCUGAAACAUUUGAAAAGUUCAAAGAAUUUCAGAGUGAAGUAGAAAAUCAUCGUAACAGGAAAAUAAAAUUUCUACGAUCUGAUCGUGGAGGAGAAUAUUUGAGUUACGAGUUUGGUCUACACUUGAAACAACACGGAAUAGUUUCGCAACUCACGCCACCUGGAACACCACAAUGAAAUGGUGUGUCCGAACGUCGUAAUCGUACUUUACUAGAUAUGGUGCGAUCUAUGAUGUCUUUUACUGAUUUACUGCUAUCGUUUUGUGGUUAUGCUUUAGAGACGGCCGCAUUCACGUUAAAUAGGGCACCAUCAAAAUCCGUUAAGACGACGCCUUAUGAACUAUGGUUUGGCAAGAAACCAAAGUUGUCAUUUCUUAAAGUUUGGGGCUGCGAUGCUUAUGUGAAGAAACUUCAACCAGAUAAGCUCGAACCCAAAUCGGAGAAAUGUGUCUUCGUAGGAUACCCAAAAGAGACUAUUGGGUACACCUUCUAUCACAGAUCUGAGGGCAAGAUUUUCGUUGCUAAAAUCGGAUCCUUUCUAGAGAAGGAGUUUCUCUCGAAAAAAGUGAGUGGGAGGAAAGUAGAACUUGAUGAGAUAACUGUAUCUACUCCCUUAUUGGAAAGUAGUUCAUCACAAGAACCGGUUCCUAUGACAACUACUCCAAUUAGUGAGGAAGCUAAUGAUAUUGAUCAUGAAACUUCAGAUCAAGUUUCUACUGAACCUCGUAGGUCUACCAGAAUAAGAUCCGCACCAGAGUGGUACGGUAAUCCAAUUCUGGAAGUCAUGUUGCUUGACCAUGAUGAACCUAUGAACUAUGAGGAAGCGAUGAUGAGCCCAGAUUCUGCAAAAUGGCUAGAGGCCAUGAAAUCUGAGAUGGGAUCCAUGUAUGAAAACAAAGUAUGGACUUUGGUUGACUUGCCCGAUGAUCGGCAAGCCAUUGAGAAUAAAUGGAUUUUUAAGAAGAAGACUGACACUGAUGGAAAUAUAAUUGUCUAUAAAGCUCGACUUGUUGCGAAAGGUUUUCGACAAGUUCAAGGGGUUGACUAUGCUGAUACUUUCUCACCCGUAGCGAUGCUUAAGUCUAUCCGAAUCAUGUUAGCUAUUGCUGCAUUUCAUAAUUAUGAAAUUUGGCAAAUGGAUGUCAAAACUGCAUUCUUGAAUGGAUUUCUGGAAGAAGAGUUGUAUAUGAUGCAGCCAGAAGGUUUUGUAGAUCCAAAAGGUGCUAACAAAGUGUGCAAGCUCCAGCGUUCUAUUUAUGGACUGGUGCAAGCAUCUCGGAGUUGGAAUAAACGCUUUGAUAGUGUGAUCAAAGCAUAUGGUUUUAUACAGACUUUUGGAGAAGCCUGUAUUUACAAGAAAGUGAGUGGGAGCUCUGUAGCAUUUCUGAUAUUAUAUGUAGAUGACAUAUUAUUAAUUGGAAAUGAUAUAGAAUUUCUGGAUAGCAUAAAGGAAUACUUGAAUAAAAGUUUUUCAAUGAAAGACCUCGGUGAAGCUGCUUAUAUAUUGGGCAUCAAGAUCUAUAGAGAUAGAUCAAGACGCUUAAUAGGACUUUCACAAAGCACAUACCUUGAUAAAAUUUUGAAAAAGUUCAAAAUGGAUCAGGCAAAGAAAGGGUUCUUGCCCGUACUACAAGGUGUGAAGUUGAGUCAAACUCAAUGCCCGACCACAUCAGAAGAUAGAGAGAAAAUGAAAGAUGUUCCCUAUGCUUCAGCCAUAGGCUCUAUCAUGUAUGCAAUGCUGUGUACCAGACCUGACGUAUGCUUAGCAAUAAGCUUGGCAGGAAGGUACCAAAGUAAUCCAGGAGUGGAUCACUGGACAGCGGUCAAGAACAUCCUGAAAUACCUGAAAAGGACUAAGGAUAUGUUUCUCGUAUAUGGAGGUGACAAAGAGCUAGUCGUAAAUGGUUACGUCGAUGCAAGCUUUGACACUGAUCCGGACGAUUCUAAAUCGCAAACCGGAUACGUGUUUUUAUUAAACGGUGGAGCUGUAAGUUGGUGCAGUUCUAAACAAAGCAUCGUGGCGGGAUCUACAUGUGAAGUGGAGUAUAUAGCUGCUUUGGAAGCAGCAAAUGAAGGAGUCUGGAUGAAGGAGUUCAUUUCCGAUCUAGGUGUCAUACCUAGUGCAUCGGGACCAAUGAAAAUCUUCUGUGACAAUACUGGUGCAAUUGCCUUGGCAAAGGAAUCCAUAUUUCACAAGAGGACCAAGCACAUCAAGAGACGCUUCAAUUCCAUUCGGGACCAAGUCCAAGUGGGAGACAUAGAGAUUUGCAAGAUACAUACGGAUCUGAAUGUUGCAGACCCGUUGACUAAGCCACUCUCACGAGCAAAACAUGAUCAGCACCAAGACUCAAUGGGUGUUAGAAUCAUUACUAUGUAAUCUAGAUUAUUGACUCUAGUGCAAGUGGGAGACUGAAGGAAAUAUGCCCUAGAGGCAAUAAUAAAGUUAUUAUUUAUUUCCUCAUAUCAUGAUAAAUGUUUAUUAUUCAUGCUAGAAUUGUAUUAACCGGAAACAUGAUACAUGUGUGAAUACAUAGACAAACAUAUAGUCACUAGUAUGCCUCUACUAGACUUGCUCGUUAAUCAAAGAUGGUUAUGUUUCCUAACCAUAGACAUGUGUUGUCAUUUGAUUAAUGGGAUCACAUCAUUAGGAUAAUGAUGUGAUUGACAUGACCCAUUCCGUUAGCCUAGCACUUGAUCGUUUAGUAUAUUGCUAUUGCUUUCUUCAUGACUUAUACAUGUUCCUGUAACUAUGAGAAUUAUGCAACUCCCGUUUACCGGAGGAACACUUUGGGUACUACCAAACAUCACAACGUAACUGGGUGAUUAUAAAGGAGUACUACAGGUGUCUCCGAAGGUACGUGUUGAGUUGGCGUAUUUCGAGAUUAGGUUUUGUCACUCCGAUUGUCGGAGAGGUAUCUCUGGGCCCUCUCGGUAAUGCACAUCACUAUAAGCCUUGCAAGCAAUGUGACCAAAUGAGUUGGUUACGGGAUGAUGCAUUACGGAACGAGUAAAGAGACUUGCCGGUAACGAGAUUGAACUAGGUAUUGGAUACAGACGAUCAAAUCUCGGGCAAGUAACAUACCGAUGACAAAGGGAACAACGUAUGUUGUUAUGCGGUUUGACCGAUAAAGAUCUUCGUAGAAUAUGUAGGAACCAAUAUGAGCAUCCAGGUUCCGCUAUUGGUUAUUGACCGAGAAUAGUUCUAGGUCAUGUCUACAUAGUUCUCGAACCCGUAGGGUCCGCACGCUUAACGUUACGAUGACAGUCUUAUUAUGAGUUUAUAAGUUUUGAUGUACCAAAGUUUGUUCGGAGUCCCGGAUGUGAUCACGGACGUAACGAGGAGUCUUGAAAUGGUCGAGACAUAAAGAUUGAUAUAUUGGAAGCCUAUAUUUGGACAUCGGAAUCGUUCCGGGUGAAAUCGGCAUUUUACCGGAGCAUCGGGAGGUUACCGGAACCCCCCCGGGGGGUUAUUGGGCCUACAUGGGCCUCGAGGGAGAAGAGGGAAGGAGGCAGGGUGGGUAUGGAGAGGCAAGAUCUCAGCUGGUGAAGGUGUACACACGAGGUUUACGAGUUCAGACCCUUCACAGUGGAAGUAACAGCCCUACGUCUCGGUGCCCGGAGGCGGUCGAUUGGAUUAUGUGUGUGAUAUUACAGGGGGGUUCGAACCCUUGUCCCAGAGGAGGGGGUGGCUUAUAUAGAGUGCGCCAGGACCCCCGCCCACCUCCAUUACAAGGGGCUUAAUGUACAUAAAGUAAGGGGUGUUACUGGUAACGCCAGCCUUAAGUGUUGUUAAUGCUUAUAAAGACUACGGAGUGAACGUCCGACCGUUGUGGUCCCUUCUGACUCCUGGUCUUCGAUAGGUCGAGUGACUCUCUGUAUGGUCGAGUGACGAUAGGGAGGAGUACCUCCGAGUGACGUGGUUGUCGAGUGGAUUGCACUCGACGUAUUCGACUGGCGCUCGCAUGUUGUCUCUUGGUCCUUUUAUCUUCCAGGGUAGUGACCUUGGGUAGGACGUAUAGGUCAGGCCUAUGACCCUACCCCAGGUCUGUAUCCUCAUAAUGCGGUCCUUUUCCUCCAUCACUGCAUGCGCUAGGACUACUCAUUUAUUGGUUGUGAGGCACACCGUGCAUUAAUUUCUCCAUUAAUUAGGCGUCGUAAUUAACAACCAAUGCUAUUUUCAGUAUUCCAAUCACUAACCAUCUUGGUCCCCGAGAUUUUUCUAGCACGCCAUGUAAACUGUGACGGAGAGAGUAGUUACCUUGUUGCACUAUAACGUUGUCAAGAUUUUGAAGGCCAUGGCACCAAGCCGCCAAAGCAGGAAUACCUUGACAGCGCCGCGUCCCCGUUGAUAAAUGUAUAUCGACAACUCUACCAAAAAGGAAAACUAGGUCGAAUUAGGAGCUGCAUUUUUUGAGGUUGUAGAUCAAAACAUUGAUGUGUGUCUACAAAUUUUUUUUAAGAAUGUUUGAACAUUUUUCUUUCAAAAAAAUCAAUCUCAUUGAUCUCACCUAAUAUAAGAUCUCACACAAGUCUUCCCUUUUUGUGCUGAUUCCUGAGCGCUUUGGCACUCUACCCUAAGCCGGGACUACGUCGAGUGCCGAGUGCCCGCAUGCAUGCAAUGGAGAGAAAUACUACUAGUACCUCACGUGAAUGCCUCGUCUCAUGCAGAUUCCUAUGGCGUGGGCAGUGAGCAAGGCGCCGCAUCCUUCAACCAGUAGAUGCCGCUGCAUGGUAUCCAUGAGUCUGUACACCCCUGGUCUAGCGAAGGUGUGAUCGUGACUUUGCGUUGGGACUCUAAUUUUUGUCACGGUGUAGCAGCACUUUCCUUGUGCCGUCCGCAUGCAUGCUAUGCAUGGGCCUACUUCCUUUAUGCAAAGCAAGAUCCCUAUAAAUACGCUCAAGCCUUCUUCUUAUCGACACCAACAAGCAGUUCUCUCUUGCACACACAUCAAUCGAUCACAAGUUCAUCACACACAGCCAGAGCUCCAUCCAUCACCUCGCGUCGUCCACGGCCAUGGCGCAAGUGAAAGCAGCACGGGCCACGAGGGAGGCCGUGCCCACGGUGUCCCGUGUGGCCAUCAUCGGCAGCGGGAUCAGCGGGCUCGCGGCCGCCAAGCAGAUGGCGGCCUACGACCCCGUGGUGUUCGAGGCGACGCCGUCCGUGGGCGGGGUGUGGAAACACUGCGUGUACCGCACCACGCGGCUCCAGACGCCACGCGCGAACUACGAGUUCUCCGACUACUCAUGGGGCAACCGUGACGACCCGGCGUUCCCGACCCACACCGAGGUCGUCGACUACCUCGAGGGCUACGCCGACGAGUUCGAUCUCUGGCGCUACAUCUCGUUCGGGUCCAAAGUGGUGGACAUCAAGUUCCUUGGCGGCGCCGAGGCCGGGUUCACCGAGCGGUGGAGCGGCACCGGCAAGGCUCCGCUCCAGGGCAAGCCCACGUGGGAGGUCGGCGUCGCCACCGGCGGCUCCGGCACUGUUCAGGCACAAGUUCCUCUACUUUGUAUUCUUGUCAUGCAUGAUUGCUUUUACAUACUUUGCACCGACUUCUGAUAAAUUCAAUCACCUCACGAGCAUAUUUUGCCACGGGAAUGUGCAGUAUUACAAGUUCGAGUUCGUGGUGAUGUGCACGGGGAAGUACGGCGACGUGCCGCGGAUGCCGGUGUUCCCGCCGGGAAAGGGGCCGGAGGUGUUCAAGGGGACGGUGAUGCACUCGCUGGACUACUGCAAGCUGAGCAAGGAGGAGACCGUUGAGCUGAUGAGAGGAAAGAAGGUUGUGGUGGUUGGGUACAAGAAGAGCGCUAUCGAUCUAGCCAACGAAUGUGUUCAGGCAAACCAAGGUGCGUAAAAGCAUACUCCCAUAGUUAGCUAGCUUCUACUGUGUCCAAAUUCUCCUAAGAGGAAGUGCAUUUUGUUAUCCCUCAACUUAUGACAAUUCUCCUACGAGUAAAUUUUGUCCAAAUUCUCCUAAGAGUAAACCAGGUUUUGGUCGAGGAAUCCACUAUUCGAUAUUAAGUGUUGGGACAGGAAGGUUGCACUAAGAUGUGGCCAACACUGUGCCACAUCAAGUUAAAAUCACGUUUGACCAAGGAAGGUCACUGUCAAAGACUUGAGAGUUGGGAGGUUGCACUAAAAAAAUUCAGGGACAAAAACCACAUUUCUUGAUAAGUUGAGGGAUGAAAAUGCACUUUACUCAUCUCCUAAAACAUGGAUCGGUCGAUUAACCGAUUAAGUUUGCUUUGCUUUUUUUGUUGGGACCAACUAUAAGUUAGGUGCCUGAAAAUAAAAGUCCAUCAGUCACUUCCAACCAGAGCCCUUAGGUCUUCAUCAAACAAUCAAAAAUAGAACACGCAUUGUUCAUAUUCUACCUCCCUCUCUUCUUGACACCGUCGGCCUGCCUCGCCCUAACUGUCAGCCUCCAUCACCCGGGCCGGCCAGCGCUACCGCGCACAGCCUCUCUGCCCUGGCCAUCCCUCUAGGCCUCGCCACAAUAGAGAAAAACCCCGGCGCUCUCCUGCACCCCCAUGGCUUCCCCCCACCCCUAAUAAUAGAUAGUGGGGUUGUCUUCUCCGGCGACUUCUCUAGACAGGUCCCGUGUGAAGGAAGAAAAGGGGGAAGGAGGAAGGUGACUGCAUGCGAGAUAAAAUUUCAGGUAGCUGAUACAUAGCACACCCUAGGUCUGAGUCGACUGAGACUUAACCAAGUCUCAGUCAAGUGAUAUAGUAUGCAAGAAGAAAAAGAAAAACAGAAAAUAUUUUUUUGUAUGAUCCCCAUGCAAAAUCAAAAAAAGAUAGUAUCGACUGAGACAUAACGAAGUUUCAAUCGACUGAGACUUAGCAAAAGUGAAUAGCAAAACCUUGUUUUCUUUGUUUGAAGGUGACGGCGGGCAGGCGUGCACGAUGCUGGUGCGGACCCUGCACUGGAUGGUGCCGUCAUACGCCAUCUGGGGCUUGCCAUUCUUCCUGUUUUACUCGACACGUUUCUCCCAGCUCUUCUACGAGCGGCCCAACCAGAGCUUCUUCAGAUCCCUCCUCUGCCGCCUCAUGAGCCCACUGGUAUGUAUGUGUACGUCAUAAUUCGCAGCCGUGAAGAACAUUACUUAUUGCACAAACCAUGCAUGCACAAAUUUCUCAUGACAGCAGCAACCAUGCAUGCAUGGAUGAAUCUUGGUGGUGCAGCGGGCAGGGGUGUCGAAGUUCAUCGAGUCGUACCUGUUGUGGAAGCUGCCGCUGGGCAAGUACGGUCUGACGCCGGACCACCCCUUUGUCGAGGACUACGCCAGCUGCCAACUGGCCUUCCUCCCGGAGGGCUUCUUCGACAUGGCUGACCACGGCCUGGUGCGCUUCAAGAGGGCCCCCGACGGGUGGUGGCUCUCGGAGAUCGGCGUCGUCCUCGAAGACGGCACCGGGGUGGAGGCCGACCUCGUCUUCCUCGCCACCGGCUUCGAGAGCACGGACAAGCUCCGCGAGGUCCUCCCUAAGCCCUUCCGCGGCCUCCUCGUCGACGAGUCCUCCAUGAUGCCCCUCUACCAGUACGUGUAUAGUACUCCAUCCAUCUCAUAAUAAAAGAUGUUUUUUGGCACUACAUUAGGCCCUGUUUGGUUCAUAAGUCCUAUGACUUUUUUAGUCCCAACUUAUAAGUCUCAAGUCCCUAAAAAGUCUCUACCUGUUUGGUUCAUGAAACUUAUAAGUCCCUAUAAGAACAUAUUACAACUAUAAGUCCUUAUAAGACUCUCUUGAGAGUCUUAUUUCAUAAGUCAUAAAUGCCCACUUCAAGUCCUUAUAAGUCCCUUCUAUUUGGUUUAGAUGGAACUUAUAGGGACUUUUUUAAGUCCCUAAAUCAAUAAGUCCUGGAAACAAACACCCUCUUAGUCAUACGUUAUUGGAACCGAGGGAGUAGCAUGUUUAUCAUUAGUUACACGUGCAUGUACCCAGUGCCUGAUGACUGAUGUGUUUGUGCAGCGGCACGAUCCACCCGCUGAUCCCGAACAUGGCAUUCGUGGGGUUCGUGGAGAGCGCAUCGAACCUGCACACGUCGGAGCUGCGGUGCCGAUGGCUGGCGGGGCUGCUGGAGGGGCGGUUCGAGCUGCCUACCGUGCAGGCCAUGAUGAGGCACGUCGCCGGCGAGGCCGACGCCAUGCGUCGCACCAC